RNAcentral lists this ribosomal RNA (479 nucleotides) under uncultured bacterium. RNAcentral's name for it is "partial 16S ribosomal RNA". It matches the Rfam family "Bacterial small subunit ribosomal RNA", at positions 28 to 507 of the family's 1533-position model. The record is from RNAcentral.
GAUGAACGCUGGCGGCGUGCUUAACACAUGCAAGUCGAACGAAGCACUUAAGAUUGAUUCUUCGGAUGACGUCUUUUGUGCCUUAGUGGCGGACGGGUGAGUAACGCGUGGGUAACCUGCCUCACACAGGGGGAUAACAGUUAGAAAUGACUGCUAAUACCGCAUAACCCGAUAGGAUCGCAUGAUCCAGACGGAAAAGAUUUAUCGGUGUGAGAUGGACCCGCGUCUGAUUAGCUAGUUGGUGAGGUAACGGCCCACCAAGGCGACGAUCAGUAGCCGGCCUGAGAGGGUGAACGGCCACAUUGGGACUGAGACACGGCCCAAACUCCUACGGGAGGCAGCAGUGGGGAAUAUUGCACAAUGGGGGAAACCCUGAUGCAGCGACGCCGCGUGAGUGAAGAAGUAUUUCGGUAUGUAAAGCUCUAUCAGCAGGGAAGAAAAUGACGGUACCUGACUAAGAAGCCCCGGCUAACUACGUG